GGAGUUAGCCGGUGCUUCUUCUGUGAGUGAUGUCCUUCCUGCCGGCUAUUAACCCGCAGGCCUUCUUCCUCACUGAAAGUGCUUUACAACCCGAAGGCCUUCUUCACACACGCGGCAUGGCUGGAUCAGGGUUGCCCCCAUUGUCCAAUAUUCCCCACUGCUGCCUCCCGUAGGAGUCUGGGCCGUGUCUCAGUCCCAGUGUGGCUGAUCAUCCUCUCAGACCAGCUACGGAUCGUCGCCUUGGUGAGCCGUUACCUCACCAACCAGCUAAUCCGACAUAGGCUCAUCCGAUAGCGCGAGGCCCGAAGGUCCCCCGCUUUCCCCCGUAGGGCGUAUGCGGUAUUAGCCUGGGUUUCCCCAGGUUAUCCCCCACUACCGGGCAGAUUCCUAUGCAUUACUCACCCGUCCGCCGCUCGCCACCAGGGAGCAAGCUCCCCGUGCUGCCGCUCGACUUGCAUGUGUAGCUGCCGCCACGCGUCAUCUGAGCCAUAAUACAACUACUCGA
RNAcentral lists this ribosomal RNA (505 nucleotides) under uncultured bacterium. Its description in RNAcentral is "partial 16S ribosomal RNA". The record is from RNAcentral.